This 503-nucleotide ribosomal RNA is filed under the name uncultured bacterium. RNAcentral describes it as "bacterial SSU rRNA". It matches the Rfam family "Bacterial small subunit ribosomal RNA", at positions 16 to 509 of the family's 1533-position model. The record is from RNAcentral.
AUCCUGGCUCAGGAUGAACGCUAGCUACAGGCUUAACACAUGCAAGUCGAGGGGCAGCGAGAGGAAAGCUUGCUUUCCUUGUCGGCGACCGGCGCACGGGUGAGUAACGCGUAUCCAACCUUCCCCUUAGUAGGGCAUAGCCCGGCGAAAGUCGGAUUAAUACCCUAUGUUGUCAGUAGAGGACAUCUGAAGUUGACCAAAGAUUUAUCGCUAAGGGAUGGGGAUGCGUCUGAUUAGGUAGUAGGCGGGUAACGGCCCACCUAGCCGACGAUCAGUAGGGGUUCUGAGAGGAAGGUCCCCCACAUUGGAACUGAGACACGGUCCAAACUCCUACGGGAGGCAGCAGUGAGGAAUAUUGGUCAAUGGGCGAGAGCCUGAACCAGCCAAGUAGCGUGCAGGAUGACGGCCCUAUGGGUUGUAAACUGCUUUUAUCAGGGGAUAAAGUCACCCACGUGUGGGUGUUUGUAGGUACCUGAUGAAUAAGGACCGGCUAAUUCCGUGCC